UUGACUCCAGAUUUUGGACACCAAGAGUUAAGCACAACAGCUUCACCUUCUGGGCCCCUUUGCCCACCCACAACUAGAAGUUCCUUUCCACAAGCCUUGAAAGCCAAACCCCAACCAUUCGAAGAAUCAGCCCUCACAGGUAACCUCCCCAACACAUCCCAAGUGUUUUUCACCUUGUCAUACUUCUUCACCAUGUUAGUUAAAUACUCAACAGCAUAUAGCUGGUUAUCCACAACUGCAACAAGCGGAGGAGCCUGAGCAGCCCUAUUAACAUUUGGAUACAUACCCUCUAUAGUCCUCCAUUUCCUUGUCUCAAAAUCAUACUCCUCCCCACAAGUCAAUGAAACAGUGGGACUUGACAUCCCACCAAUCACAUAGAAUUUGCCAUCCAUAAAAAAUCCAGAGCACAAUCUACGUGGUGAAUGCAUGUUUGGUAGCAUUUCCCAUUUGCCUGUUGAAGAGUCAUACAACUCUGCUGAAUUCAAAAC
RNAcentral lists this unclassified non-coding RNA (488 nucleotides) under Hevea brasiliensis (rubber tree). Lineage: Eukaryota; Viridiplantae; Streptophyta; Magnoliopsida; Malpighiales; Euphorbiaceae. The record is from RNAcentral.